This is a long non-coding RNA of Lingula anatina, 2103 nucleotides long. Lineage: Eukaryota; Metazoa; Brachiopoda; Lingulata; Lingulida; Lingulidae. The record is from RefSeq and is a predicted model, not a curated record.
UAAUGAUAAUUGGAUUAAUUAGAUUGUUUGUCCUUGGUAUUAAAAAUCAUUACUAUGAUUUCAGAUUUCAUCCACUGCAGACACAGAAACAAUCACUCCUGGACCAAUAAACAGUCAACGAGUCUAUAUUGUAUAUGUUGGGACCCCAAACAGCAAUGCCCAAUUGAUUUCCCAAAAAAUAAAGGAUCAGCAAGAUACUAUCAAGGAGCUCCAAAAACAACUGCGAAUACUAAAAGACAAAAGAAGUUUUGCUCAACUCCUUAACACCUUUCAAAGAGCAUUAUACACCCAUUAUGAGAAAGGUGGUGAAAAGUUAAACCAGCCAGAUGUAGUCCAGGCCUUUUGUGAAAAGCAUUCCCCUGGACUUUGGCCAAUGGUCCUAGAGGCCAUAGCACCUGUCCAUGGAUCUGGUCUUAAAAGGAUAGAGCUUCAGAGACAAAGAGUAGCUAGCUUGCUACAUACACUAAGCUAUUUUAAAAAUCAGAAAAACAGCCACAUGGUCAAAGAUUCUGGACUGUUCCUGCACCAAAGAGGACUUUCAAAGAGCGGUCAAGCAAAGGGUUCCAUUUUGGGCUGCAGUGUAUCCAACAGUGCACUUAGAAGACAUAAAAAACAAUUAUCAGAACUCGAAUCAAAUGGUAUACAUGGGCCAUGCCCCGAGACCAGCUGUUCUAAAUGACUGAUGCUAGGAACAUUUCAAUUUCUGAACUUAGUUACAAUUGAAAAAUUUGUACAACUGGGUCAAUUUUAAGUUUAUUUAUUUAUUUCCUCAUUUUAUUUCUGUUCUUUCUUGUUUAACAGUUUUGAUGUCUUUUCUCUUCUAUCAGUGAUAAAAUACAUGUAUAACCAUGAGAUAUUAACACACACACACACACCUAUAUGAAGCUUUUCAAAAUAUCUUUAUUUUCCCGAUUGCAUAAACAACAAUGGUAGAAGAUGGGGAUUUUCUUUUUUACUUAUAUCUGUAAUAAAGAAUACUUUGGAAGUAUUUCACUUAUUGGACUAUUUCACUUGCAGAUAUAAAGGUAUACAACUGGCAACCACUGAAGAAAAGAGAUUUCAAUGAAAUCAAUCACAGUGGUGUAAGCUGACAACAGAAGUAAUAAGUUGUAUGAAACUAUGACCAAGCUGCAUUCCAAAGCUUAUGGAUUUUGAGGCAGAACCUUGGAUUAAAAGUAGUAAAUAAAACUGUUUUAUGAAGAAUAAUUUCUUGUCUUUCAUGACUGACAUUGAGAUUACACAUUGCUCUGUAUUUUACUAUCAUUUGUUUGAAACUGCCUCAAUGAAAAGUAAGUGAAAACUCGUGGCAAUUUUUGAUUUACAUUCUUCCAAAACAGGAAUGCUUUCAUUCUGAUAAAAUAUUUUAAAAUACAAUGUUUUAGAUUAGUCACAUUAAGAGGCAUGUUACAAAGAAACCUCAAAACCUGGUUACAUGCAUGUGUAUAGAAAUAUUUACAUGAAAACCAAGUGUCUAAAAUAAUGCAAAAUAGUGGUGUCCAUUAAUAUUUAAUAUAUCAAUAUAUAACACAUGAUGUGUCAGACUUUUCAAUAUAUAACAAUAUAUGAAUAGUACUUGCAGCGGGGAAAAGGGGUGAUAUGGCUGCAUCAGAAUAAAGCACAUUUGUGACUGAUUACUAUUAUGUGAUUAAAAUAUGAAAGAUGUAAAAUGUAAUCUUCAUCCAGUUUUAGAUCACACAUCGUUCUGAAUGAAUAGAUAAAGUUAACUUCACACUGGGUAUAAAGGGAAAGUAUUGUAUAGAAAAUUAUAUUCCCUCUUGUGGAUUAUUUUGUGCCUAUAGUUCAUCCCUAUGCUUUCAAAAUAUUAAGUGGCACACUUCAAGAUUUUUUUUUUUCAAUUUCAGUAUACUAUUGCAUUUUCAUUAUAUAAAUAAUCACCAAUUAAUACUUAUUUCACAAACAUUCAAGUUUUAAUACAAGUUUUAAUACAAAAUAACAUCCUUGAGAAAAAUCUAAGGCUUCUUCCUCAUGAUCAAUUUUUUUUUCAUGAAAAGUUAUCAUAAAUAAAUCUGGUACAAACAAUACAGAAUACACAUACAAUUAUGCAUGUAAUAAUGGAUAGAAAAAAUGGGCAAAAAUGAUAGC